GAACCAAGGCAACUUUACCCACUAGAGAUAACCUAGAAAAUUUCUAUCUUUAGUUCAACUGAACUCUCAGUGUUAUUUCAUAGAAACCACCCCAGUCUAUUUAUAUUAUUCAACACAUAAUUUUGGUUAGAGAAUUUUUUUUUUUUUAAAUUAGGGAUGGGGGUCUUGCUGUGCUGCUCAGGCUGGUCUCAAACUCCUGGGCUAAGUGAUUCCCUGACUGUACCUGGCCAAGAGAAGUUUUUGUGCUGUGGCUUACCUUAGCAUAUUUCUCUGCUUCUUCUCUUAUAUCUUUUGGAACAAUUUCAUGUCUUCCAUUAGUUACUGUAAAUUAAGCCACAUGUGUAAAUGAAUUUUAAAUUGAGUACCAUAUUGUAACUUGCAGUAUACCAUAGGAUCUACCCAAUCCACAUAUCUGACUCACCUAAGGUUGCAAAGUUGUACUAUGAGUAAUACUCGAAUAUUUUUGUGUGCUGCUUCUACAUGAGAUUAUAUGUGCCUACAUAUUAAGUUCUUAUGGAAAUGAAAGUAAAUUAUGCUAUUUAUAAAUCCUGAGCAUUAAUUUAUAGCAUAGUAUCUUAAAACCAUGAAAUGGAUGUUUCAAAAAAUAACGUGUUCACAACUUAAGUCAAUUAUUAAGCAGAACUUUCCCUUCAUUAGACAACCUAGUAAAUUUGCUUUAGCUUUCAUUAUAUUAGAAAGGACACUCAGUUGUAAAUUAGCUGUGGUACAGAUCAUUCCUAAGGCAAAUAAAUGUACAAAAAUAACUUACAUUCACCAACCCAGCUGAGUUCUAGUUCAAAAGCUUUAUCCUUAACUUCGUCAUGUACUAUGUAAAUUCUAGAAUAGAAAAGGGAAAGGUAAGAUUUUGGUAACCUCCAAACAUUGAAGUAGUUCACAGACCCAAAGUCAGUACAAAUUAGAAUGUCCAUCCAUAAUAAAAGUAUCUAUAAAAUUACACAGACACAUUCUACAUAGUAUUUAACAUUAGAGAAGACAAAUUACACAGGGACUGAAAUAAAAUGAAACAUCUACUCUCCCGACAAAUGUUGAAUAUACCUAAUCAACCCAAGUUCAGUUUAUUUUUGCACAUUGCUUUAGAGAUAUAACUUGGCUGGGCACAGUGGCUCACACCUGUAAUCCCAACACUUUGGGAGACCAAGGCGGAUGGAUCACUUGAGGUCAGUUCGAGACUAGCCUGGCCAACAUGGUGAAACCCUGUCUCUACUAAGAAACAAAAAUCAGCCAGGUGUGGUGGUGGGCGCCUGUAAUCUCAGCUACUCAGGAGGCUAAGGCAGGAGAAUUCCUUGAACCCGGGAGGCAGGGGUUGCAGUGAGCCAAGAUCACACUACUGCACUCCAUCCUGGGCUACAGUAGAGCGAGACUCCAUCUCAGAAAAAAAAAAAGAUACAACUAUAAAAGAUACCUCAUAAAGAACACGGAUUCACUAGGAAGAGGCGUCAUUAACUGUGCCCUUUUAGAAUAUUUUGUCCAUUAACUUAAAUAUAUUUAAAACCAACUAAUUGGCUGGACAUGGUGGCUCGUGCCUGUAAUCCUAGCACUUUGGGGAGGCAGAGGCGGGUGGAUCAUGAGGUCAGGAGUUCGAGACCAUCCUGGCCAACAUGGUGAACCCACGUCUCUACUAAAAAUACAAAAAUUAGCCAGGUGAGGUGGCCAUAGGCCUGUAGUCCCAACUACUCGGGAAACUGAGGCAGGAGACUUGCUUGAACCCAGGAGGUAGGGGCUGCAGUGAGCUGAGAUCACGACACUGCACUCCAGCCUGGGCAACAGAGUGAGACUCUGUUUCAAAAAAAUAAAAAAAAAAAAACUAAUUUAUGUGCUUGCAAUUAUUAGUGGUCUCUUCAACCUAUAGCUUCUUGGCAGUAGUCUUUUUAAGCUCCUUGUCCAUUUUAUAAUGGCAUAUAUGCCACAUAACCUGGCCUUCACAUUGUAGUACCUUACAAAUUACAGCAAAGAAGGAGGCACUGUCAUGCAACAUAUUAAAGUAACAUAAAAAGUAUCAAGAGGCCAGGUGCGGUGGUUCACAUCUGUAAUCCCAGCACUUUGGGAGGCCAAGGUGGGUGGAUCACAAGGUCAGGAGUUCAAGACCAGCCUGGCCAAGAUGGUAAAGCCUGUCUCUACUAAAAAUACAAAAAUUAGCCAGGUGUGGUGGUGGGCGCCUGUAAUCCCAGCUACUUGAGAGGCUGAUGCAGGAGAAUUGCUUGAACACGGGAGGCGGAGGUUGCAGUGAGCCAAGAUCGUGCCACUGCCCUCCAGUCUGGACGACAGAGUGAGACUCCAUCUCAAAAAAAAAAAAGUAUCAAAUUAAGUACAGUAGCAGAGUAUAGCUUUAUCUAAUACUAUGCACUGAGUUACAUACCUUACUUUUUGGAGGGUCUUCUAAAACCUUGCUAUAAUAUGAGAGGAUCUUGAUUUUCUACAACUAAGUAAAAGAUAACAUGCUGCUCCAUUUUCUUAAAUGAUGAAGGGAUGGCUUUCCUAACAUGGAACACUUAACAGAUGACUACCAUUAUACCUAAAUAUAAAAGAUGAUAUAAAACCAAGGAAAAUAACCUAAAGUCUGAAAAAGACCAGAAUCGAAGUUUCCUGAUUCAUAUUUUAAUGUUUUGAAAUUUAUACUCCAGGCUGGGUGCAGUGGCUUGUGCCUGUAAUCCCAGCACUUUGGGAGGCCGAGGCGGCCGGAUUGCCUGAAGUCAGAAGUUCGAGACCAGCCUGACCAACAUGGUGAAACCCUGUCUCUACUUAAAAAUACAAAAGAGCUGGGCAUGGAGGUGGUGCGCGCCUGUAACCCUAGCUACUCGGGAGGCUGAGGCCUAAGAAUCUCUUGAACCCAGGAGGCAGAGGUUGUAGUGAGCCGGGAUCACGCCACUGCACUCUAGCCUGGGCGACAGAGAGAGAGACUGUCUAAAAAAGGAAAAGAAAAAAAUUUAUACGCCAAAAAAGAUAUUCUGAGAUAACCUGUAGUUACCACUAACUUUGUGACAAAAUUAUAAAAAUCCACAGCCAUCUAUGAAUCUGUAGGCAGACCUGAAGUUUGAACGACUGGUGAAGACAUCUGAUUUUCUUUAUAGCCAAGUUAGGAUAACAAAAUGCAAACAAGUCAUUAAUAUUUACUAUAUGCAAGAUACAGAAAGAUGAAGGAAGGAGUAAGAAGUUAUCCUUCGUGGAACUAUUCAAAGCAAAAAUGCAAAAUACCAGGGAAAGCUUUGAAGAACCAAGAUUUGAGCAGGUUCUUAGAAUAUAGAUUGGAUUGGAUUUGAUUUCAAGAAAGAUGAACGUGUAAAGCAGAAGUGGGAAGCCAAAAACUUUUUUCCAAAUUAGAAUUAAGCAUUCUUUCAAUGAACAUUUGGAAAUCAAGGUAGAAAAAUAUCCCUAGGGCCUAGCUGAGGAGUCUGUAUGUUGUUGGGUUUUGAUAGUAACCAGUCCAAGAUUUUGUUAUUAGACGUGGGUUUCUGAAUAGACAGGCAUUUCUGAACAGACAUGACAGGAUCAAAACAAUGUUUGAGCAAACUGCCCUUCAUCUACUGUGGAUAUGUUGGGGGAUGAUGGAAUAUAGUGAAAGAUAAUGGGUGCUCAUACAGCAGUCUAGACUUAAGGUGAUUCAACUACUAUAUAUUAAACUAGAUUAUCUUUUAUUUUUUAAUUUUGAAAUCUGGAUGCUCAAGCUCUGCCUGCACAACCACAUGAGGAAGAAGGAACAAUGACAACAAAAAUAACACUAAAUUUAAAUUUAAGAGUACUACUUUUAGGAAAUAGACAAACCAUUAUUUGGGUACAACUAAAGGCAACUGGCAUGGACUCAAAUAUUUUGGGGAAGAAAAAGACUAAAAGUUCUAAGGAAGAAAAUGCGAACCUUGAUAGUUUGAAAUAGUUAAAAAGACAGUGUAGAAACUGCUUAGGCAGUUUGAUUAUGGACUAUUAGAUGAUACUUGGGUCUGAUAAUGGUAUAAGGAGAAUAAAGUAUUUAGGGAUCCA
Molecule: long non-coding RNA, 3993 nt
Filed under: Homo sapiens (human)
Lineage: Eukaryota; Metazoa; Chordata; Mammalia; Primates; Hominidae
Description: HSALNT0377292
Source: RNAcentral